This 497-nucleotide ribosomal RNA is filed under the name uncultured bacterium. Its description in RNAcentral is "partial 16S ribosomal RNA". It matches the Rfam family "Bacterial small subunit ribosomal RNA", at positions 28 to 507 of the family's 1533-position model. The record is from RNAcentral.
GACGAACGCUGGCGGCGUGCCUAAUACAUGCAAGUCGAGCGCUGAAGGCCUGUACUUGUACCGACUUGAUGAGCAGCAAACGGGUGAGUAACGCGUGGAAAAUCUCCCUUUGAGCGGGGGACAAUAUUUUGAAACGAACGCUAAUACCGCAUAAAAACUUUAAACACAAGUUUUAUGUUUGAAAUACGCCAUUUCGGCACUCAAUGAUGAUCUCUCGUCGUAUUAGCUAGGUGGUGAGGUAAAGGCUCACCAAGGUGUUGAUACAUAGCCGACCUGAGAGGGUGGUCAGCCAGAGUGGGACUGUGACACAGCACAAUCGCCCACGGGAGGGAGCCGUACGGCAACUUCGGCAAGGGGUGGAAGUCUGACCGAGCAACGCCGCGGGAGUAUAGAGGGACGUCGGGUCGUGAAACUCUGUUGGUAGAGUAGAACGUUGGUGAGAGUGGAACGAUCAUCAAGUGACGGUAACUACUAAGAAAGCAACGGCUAACUACGUG